AUUGAACGCUGGCGGCAUGCCUUACACAUGCAAGUCGAACGGCAGCACGGGUGCUUGCACCUGGUGGCGAGUGGCGAACGGGUGAGUAAUACAUCGGAACGUACCUUAUCGUGGGGGAUAACGCAGCGAAAGCUGUGCUAAUACCGCAUACGCCCUGAGGGGGAAAGCGGGGGAUCGAAAGACCUCGCGCGAUUAGAGCGGCCGAUGCCUGAUUAGCUUGUUGGUGGGGUAAAAGCCCACCAAGGCGACGAUCAGUAGCUGGUCUGAGAGGACGAUCAGCCACACUGGGACUGAGACACGGCCCAGACUCCUACGGGAGGCAGCAGAGGGGAAUUUCGGACAAUGGGGGCAACCCUGAUCCAGCAAUGCCGCGUGAGUGAAGAAGGCCUUCGGGUUGUAAAGCUCUUUCGUCAGGGAAGAAACACCGGCUCUAACACAGUCCGGGAAUGACGGUACCUGAAGAAUAAGCACCGGCUAACUACGUGCCAGCAGCCGCGGUAA
Molecule: ribosomal RNA, 501 nt
Filed under: uncultured bacterium
Lineage: Bacteria
Description: partial 16S ribosomal RNA
Rfam family: Bacterial small subunit ribosomal RNA
Source: RNAcentral